GACGAACGCUGGCGGCGUGCCUAAUACAUGCAAGUCGAACGCUGAAGGCGGGGCUUGCUUCUCUGGAUGAGUUGCGAACGGGUGAGUAACGCGUAGGUAACCUGCCUGGUAGCGGGGGAUAACUAUUGGAAACGAUAGCUAAUACCGCAUAAUAUUGACUAUUGCAUGAUAGUCAGUUGAAAGGUGCAGCUGCACCACUACCAGAUGCACCUGCGGUGUAUUGGCUAGUGGGUGGGGUAACGGCGCACUAUGGCGAGGAUACAUAGCCGACCGGAGAGGGGGGUCGGCCAGACUGGGACGGUGACACGCCCCAGUGGGCUACGGAAGGGAGCAGGAGGGAAUCUUGGGGAAUGGGUGGAAGACUGAGCGCGCAACGCCGCAGGAGGGAAGAAGGUUGUCGGAUCGGAAAGCUCGGUUGUAAGGGAAGAACGAGUGUGAGAGUGGAAAGCUCACACUGUGACGGUAUCUGACCAGAAAGGGACGGCUAACUACGUG
This 495-nucleotide ribosomal RNA is filed under the name uncultured bacterium. Its description in RNAcentral is "partial 16S ribosomal RNA". It matches the Rfam family "Bacterial small subunit ribosomal RNA", at positions 28 to 507 of the family's 1533-position model. The record is from RNAcentral.